GCUGGUUUGGCUCAGUGGAUAGAGCGUCAGUCUAUGGACUGAAGGGUCCCGGGUUCGAUUCCCAGUCAGGG
Non-coding RNA from Myotis brandtii (Brandt's bat), 71 nucleotides. Lineage: Eukaryota; Metazoa; Chordata; Mammalia; Chiroptera; Vespertilionidae. The record is from Rfam.